GACGAACGCUGGCGGCGUGCUUAACACACGCAAGUCGAACGAUGAAGCCGGAGCUUGCUCUGGUGAAUUAGUGGCGAACGGGUGAGUAACACGUGAGUAACCUGCCCUUGACUCUGGGAUAACUGCUAGAAAUGGUAGCUAAUACCGGAUACGACCCUCGGCGGCAUCGCCAGGGGGUGGAAAGAAUUUCGGUCAAGGAUGGACUCGCGGCCUAUCAGCUGGUUGGGGAGGUAACGGCUCACCAAGGCGACGACGGGUAGCCGGCCUGAGAGGGUGACCGGCCACACUGGGACUGAGACACGGCCCAGACUCCUACGGGAGGCAGCAGUGGGGAAUAUUGCACAAUGGGCGCAAGCCUGAUGCAGCAACGCCGCGUGAGGGAUGACGGCCUUCGGGUUGUAAACCUCUUUUAGUAGGGAAGAAGCGAAAGUGACGGUACCUGCAGAAAAAGCACCGGCUAACUACGUGCCAGCCGCCGCGGUAA
Molecule: ribosomal RNA, 484 nt
Filed under: uncultured bacterium
Lineage: Bacteria
Description: partial 16S ribosomal RNA
Rfam family: Bacterial small subunit ribosomal RNA
Source: RNAcentral